RNAcentral lists this transfer RNA (171 nucleotides) under Candidatus Woesearchaeota archaeon. RNAcentral's name for it is "tRNA-Ile". The record is from RNAcentral. Lineage: Archaea; Nanobdellati; Candidatus Woesearchaeota.
GGGCCCGUAGCUUAGUCUGGUAGAGUGCUCGACUGAUAAUCGAGUGGUCCGGAGUUCAAAACAAUUGUUUCGUCAAUUGGAACCGAAGUGCGACAUUCAGCUUCGCUGAAGUCCCACGAGCUCACUUCGUUCGCAUAAUCGAAACAUUUGGUGAAAAUCUCCGCGGGCCCA